ACGACCUUACUUGAACAAAAUUUGUUCCAUAGGUUGUAUGUCUUAGUCUACGUAGAAUCCUAUACAAACAAGCACACAAAUCCGGAAAAUGAACUAUGGCUCUCAGGCCAAAGCGUGAAUACUGUGAUGGUUGGGACUCCGCUCCCACCCGUCUCUCAAUGAAUGUCCCGUCUGUGACAUUUACAGUUCUUGAGGGUGAAAGCCUGAGAGCGUUCUGACGAAUC
Picea glauca (white spruce) is the source of this 224-nucleotide non-coding RNA. NCBI's taxonomy places the organism in Eukaryota, Viridiplantae, Streptophyta, Pinopsida, Pinales, Pinaceae. The record is from Rfam.